GAUGAACGCUGGCGGUAUGCCUAACACAUGCAAGUCGUACGAGAGUUUUUAACUCUAGUGGCGGACGGGUGAGUAACACGUGAGAAUUUGCCUUUAGGAGGGGGAUAACAAUUGGAAACGAAUGCUAAUACCCCAUAUGCUUUUGAGUGAAAUGGAUUUUAUCCGCCUAGAGAGAAGCUCGCGGCUGAUUAGCUUGUUGGUAAGGUAAGAGCUUACCAAGGCGACGAUCAGUAUCUGGUUUGAGAGGACGAUCAGACACACUGGAACUGAGACACGGUCCAGACUCCUACGGGAGGCAGCAGUGGGGAAUUUUCCGCAAUGGGCGAAAGCCUGACGGAGCAAUACCGCGUGAGGGGAAGAAUGCCUAUGGGUUGUAAACCUCUUUUUCUAGGGAGGAAUAAAAUGACGUGUACCUGAAGAAUAAGCAUCGGCUAACUCCGUG
RNAcentral lists this ribosomal RNA (442 nucleotides) under uncultured bacterium. RNAcentral describes it as "bacterial SSU rRNA". It matches the Rfam family "Bacterial small subunit ribosomal RNA", at positions 28 to 507 of the family's 1533-position model. The record is from RNAcentral.